UGCUGCAAUUUAGCACCUACUAGAUUUUACUAGUCCAUCUUGUCUUAAAAAAAAAAAGAAGAAAAUGAACAAGCACCAUGACCAACUAAAUUCCCAAAUGCACACAAUUUUUAAAAGGUUAUGAUUGAGCAUUAAGUGCAAAAAAGCACAAGUUUAAACGUGUUUCAUACUAUCAAAAUAUAGACAUAAAAUAAUUCGAUGCACAAGAAAUAAUGUAAACAUAAUAUUUAAAAUGUCACCAUCUUGAUAACCAAACGAAUUCAUCAUCUUUCAAGUUUUGGGCACAAACAAAAUAUAGAUUUUUAACAAAUAAACUAGAUAACCAUCAUCACAUGAUUUCCCCUAUGACAAGUGUCGAUAACAAGCAAGGUUUGCCAAAUUGGUACCAGUGGGUGUAUCGACCUACGACCGAUUCGGCACGGUACAAAUGUGUACCAUGCUGUCCUAGAGCUUACUGAAAACAAGAAGAGGGAGGGAGAGGG
Molecule: long non-coding RNA, 482 nt
Filed under: Elaeis guineensis (African oil palm)
Lineage: Eukaryota; Viridiplantae; Streptophyta; Magnoliopsida; Arecales; Arecaceae
Description: long non-coding RNA (EGUI_LNC002250)
Source: RNAcentral